UACGUAGGUGGCAAGCGUUGUCCGGAAUUAUUAGGCGUAAAGCGCGCGCAGGUGGUUUCUUAAGUCUGAUGUGAAAGCCCACGGCUCAACCGUGGAGGGUCAUUGGAAACUGGGAGACUUGAGUGCAGAAGAGGAAAGUGGAAUUCCAUGUGUAGCGGUGAAAUGCGUAGAGAUAUGGAGGAACACCAGUGGCGAAGGCGACUUUCUGGUCUGUAACUGACACUGAGGCGCGAAAGCGUGGGGAGCAAACAGG
RNAcentral lists this ribosomal RNA (253 nucleotides) under uncultured bacterium. RNAcentral's name for it is "partial 16S ribosomal RNA". It matches the Rfam family "Bacterial small subunit ribosomal RNA", at positions 524 to 776 of the family's 1533-position model. The record is from RNAcentral.